This 484-nucleotide ribosomal RNA is filed under the name uncultured bacterium. RNAcentral's name for it is "bacterial SSU rRNA". It matches the Rfam family "Bacterial small subunit ribosomal RNA", at positions 29 to 524 of the family's 1533-position model. The record is from RNAcentral.
AACGAACGCUGGCGGCAUGCCUAACACAUGCAAGUCGAACGGGAUCCUAGCUUGCUAGGUGAGAGUGGCGGACGGGUGAGUAACACGUGGGAAUCUGCCUUUUGGUUCGGGAUAACCGCGGGAAACUGCGGCUAAUACCGAAUGCCCUCGAGAGAGGAAAGAUUUAUCGCCAGAAGAGGAGCCCGCGUCCGAUUAGGUAGUUGGUGGGGUAAAGGCCUACCAAGCCGACGAUCGGUAGCUGGUCUGAGAGGAUGAUCAGCCACACUGGGACUGAGAUACGGCCCAGACUCCUACGGGAGGCAGCAGUGGGAAUAUUGGACAAUGGGGGAAACCCUGAUGCAGCAACGCCGCGUGAGUGAAGAAGGCCCUUGGGUUGUAAAGCUCUUUAGCGAGGGAAGAAGGUAGAUACGGUGAAUAAUACGUGUUUGCUGACGGUACCUCGAGAAUAAGCACCGGCUAAUUUCGUGCCAGCAGCCGCGGUAAU